RNAcentral lists this non-coding RNA (31 nucleotides) under Rattus norvegicus (Norway rat). The record is from RNAcentral. Lineage: Eukaryota; Metazoa; Chordata; Mammalia; Rodentia; Muridae.
UCAAACAUGAGCCCUACAGGUCCUCCUGCCU